Molecule: long non-coding RNA, 2193 nt
Organism: Serinus canaria (Common canary)
Lineage: Eukaryota; Metazoa; Chordata; Aves; Passeriformes; Fringillidae
Source: Ensembl
AAAAUUAAUUAAAAGCUCCUGUUGACUGCUUCCCACUCUGAAAAGAAGGUGGAGAAUCUUAUUCUCUUAACUUUAAUGAUUGUUUAUUUAUCUUUUAUGGGGUUUUAUAUCAUAGUCGAGAGAGGUUUUUUCAGCUGCUUGACUCCCUUUUGCCAUCUGCUAUUUUUUGUUCACACACCAUCCCCACGCACCCAGCCCCCCCGUAGUAUUUAUUCUUAUUUUGUCAGAUCCCCGUCUAACUCGUCAAGUCUCUGAGCGGCUCCUUUGUAUUCCGAAUCUCGAUCCGAUUCCCUUAACCUCUCCCCCACCCACUCACCGCCAGCCCCGCUCCGGAGGCUGCUGAUGGGGAUCUGAUGGAUCCUCCUGCCGGGCGCAGCUCCCGACUCUCCCCGUAGAUUCCUUAACAAUCGGCAGCACCGAACUAAGCCGACUACCUCUCCCAAGCAAGGCUCACCUCUAAAGGUCCCGUUUCCCCGAGCCACCUCCCAGACAGAACCGCUGGUGGUGCUCACAGGGGCGCUGUGCCGGUGCCCCUGCCGCAGGGGUAGUCCUCGGCUCUCCCCUCCCCACGGGGUGGGGGCCAGGCUCAGCACCCUCCCUGCUCGGCGGUGAAACACGACCGGGGGGACCCGGGACCUCGCUGCAGCUGCCAGCUCCGAGUCCCGCUCCUGAGCCACACGCUGGCGCAAAACACCCGGGGACCCUGCUAGCACUUGCCGCCGGCCAUUCAUAAAUCCUGCGUGUGUGUGUGCCCGGCGCCGCGGACAUGGGGCUCUAACGUGGCGAAGGCGGUAUUUCUGACACAGCCUGAUCCCGGCUCCGCAACUUUGCCAUCUGGGAGCAGGCAAAGGGCACCGCGGCUUUAGAUUGCCCGGGGCUAGAAUUACCAGAAAGGAAAAGAGUAAGAAAUGAAAUCCCAACUGUACCUGACGGUGUCUGGGAAUCCCUCGCCGGCACCGAUCGUAAUCCCCCUUCGCGCCUCUGGCCCCCCACACCAAAACUUUGCCGCCGCCGCUCCUCGGUGGUGGCCGCCGCCGCCCUCCUCCCGGCGCCGCUCCCGGCCGGCCCCGCGGGCCCGUUCCCCGCCGGCCGCCGCCGCUCCGAGCGAACCCCGCGCCUCCCGCGCCUUCCUCCGCCCUUACGAGGCGGCGGCAUCGUCCUACCCCCUGCUCCGCCACCUCCUCCUCCGGCGCGCAGCCCACGGCUCUGGCAUUCCCAACGCACUUUCUCUCCUCGAUUCGCUCUCUCUUUCCCCCGCCGUUCCUCCUUCUCCGGUAAAAAAUAAACGAGAGGGAACCGCGGCUACCCUUGAUCUUGGGGUUUCUUUCCGGAUUUUUUGGUUGUUUGCCCCUUUUUUUUUUUUUUUUUUUUUUUUUGUCUCUUUCUGUCCUCUGGAAAUGAUGAAAAGAUCACAUGAGGAGCAGGCACGGCGACCCAGGACCUUCGUAAGUCGGAGAAGGCAUCGGACACAUACCGUACAUCUGGGAGAUGAUUUUGGAAGUGUGAAGAAGACAAAACAUCACUUCCUGGCAUGUGUUCUACUCCAGAUGAGCAUGUCAGCACUCUCUUUUUGAUUGCUUACCUGGUGUUAGUGCUCUGUGAAGGGAUCCUGUCGCCACAGGAUUGUUUCCCACUCAGGUUAGUGGAAAUUGUCAAACUGUGUGUCAGCCUUUUUCGAAUCCCAAAUCUAGCUGGGCAGUAAUGAAAGAGCAAUGCCCUUUUUAAGCCAGUGUAAAUCACAGAGCAUCUACUCUGGAUGUCUUGUUCAGUGCCUAAUCACUGAAUGCUGGGUAUGGAGGGAGUGUUCUCAUAUUAUCAGGACAGAAGUUCUCCUUCUUCUCUCUUCUCAGAAGAAUAUAAUUAGCUAACUGCACAUCCUCAUGGACUCCAGUUUUUCAAAAAAGUCCAUACAAAUCACAAGUCAUCAUGGCUGGCAGUAAGUGCCUUGCUGUGUUGAAAUUUCAAAAAAUUCAUUUUCUUACAUGACCUGAACUCUUAAGUCAUAAAAAUAAUAUCAGUCUGACUGCCUGCUUGCGUUUGCCAUGUUUUGCUUCUAAUUUAAGAGCAGUUUAAUUAUUUUCAGAGCGGUUGAUGAUAACAUCUUUUAAGAGCUGAAAAAGCCUUACAAAUGAUGUUGCAAAAGAUUUGAUGUUUUCUCAGGAAUGGUCUUUCACCCUUCCAGUCUGGAUUUCU